UCAAACUUGGUCAUUUAGAGGAAGUAAAAGUCGUAACAAGGUUUCCGUAGGUGAACCUGCGGAAGGAUCAUUAACGAGUAACUGAACAGGUUGUAGCUGGCCUUUCGGGGCAUGUGCACGCCUGGCUCAUCCACUCUUCAACCUCUGUGCACUUGUUGUAGGUCGGUCGAAGGGUCACUGUGUUAAACGGUGACUCGGAAGCCUUCCUAUGUUUUACUACAAACGCUUCAGUUUAAGAAUGUAAUCUCUGCGUAUAACGCAUUUAUAUACAACUUUCAGCAACGGAUCUCUUGGCUCUCGCAUCGAUGAAGAACGCAGC
RNAcentral lists this unclassified non-coding RNA (319 nucleotides) under uncultured fungus. Its description in RNAcentral is "partial contains small subunit ribosomal RNA, internal transcribed spacer 1, and 5.8S ribosomal RNA". The stretch from base 1 to 73 matches the Rfam family "Eukaryotic small subunit ribosomal RNA", at positions 1759 to 1831 of the family's 1831-position model. Lineage: Eukaryota; Fungi. The record is from RNAcentral.